Molecule: microRNA precursor, 91 nt
Filed under: Canis lupus familiaris (dog)
Lineage: Eukaryota; Metazoa; Chordata; Mammalia; Carnivora; Canidae
Also listed under: 1 other name
Description: mir-8799 microRNA precursor family
Rfam family: mir-8799 microRNA precursor family
Source: Rfam by way of RNAcentral
GGGAGCUCAGGAUCCUGGGCUGUGUCCCCCAGCACCCUGGGCUCCAGGGCCUGCGCUGCUUGAAUCACGCUCCCGGGCCGUGCAGCCUCCU